AACGAACGCUGGCGGCAUGCCUAACACAUGCAAGUCGAACGAAGCCUUCGGGCUUAGUGGCGCACGGGUGCGUAACACGUGGGAAUCUGCCCUUUGGUUCGGAAUAACAGUUAGAAAUGACUGCUAAUACCGGAUAAUGACGUAAGUCCAAAGAUUUAUCGCCGAAGGAUGAGCCCGCGUAGGAUUAGGUAGUUGGUGGGGUAAUGGCCCACCAAGCCGACGAUCCUUAGCUGGUCUGAGAGGAUGAUCAGCCACACUGGGACUGAGACACGGCCCAGACUCCUACGGGAGGCAGCAGUGGGAAUAUUGGACAAUGGGCGCAAGCCUGAUCCAGCAAUGCCGCGUGGGUGAAGAAGGCCUGCGGUUGUAAGCCUUAAGCGGGAGGAAGCGGGUGUGAAUAGCGCCUCGGGUGACGUUACCGCAGAAUAAGCACCGGCUAACUCCGUGCCAGCAGCCGCGGUAAU
Molecule: ribosomal RNA, 464 nt
Filed under: uncultured bacterium
Lineage: Bacteria
Description: bacterial SSU rRNA
Rfam family: Bacterial small subunit ribosomal RNA
Source: RNAcentral